GCACUCUCAGCUUUCUGCCUGGGCUCCUCCUCCCUAAGUCCUAUUCAGACGCUCUCAGGUUUUCAAGCCUCACUUGUUUCAAACCUUCUCACUGGGUCUCAGUCUCUCAAUCUCUCUUCCCUUCUCCCUGUCCCUUUUCACUCAAGCCAGUCCCAUUCCGUGAGAAAGUGGUCCAUCUCCAGUUCCCUUCCCUAGUUCAGUCCUGCCCAUUCACUGUCCCAGCUAAUCAGGACUCUCUUUGCUCUAUGCUCUUAGGUCUUGCCCCAUCCAACCUAUGUUAUCCAACACCCGGGUCCUCCCUGCCAAAGCUUUAGGUCCCGGGGAGAGAUCUCUUUUUAUUUCUCUUCUGACCCUUCUCUCCGGACCUUCUCAGUCCAACCAGAUCGGCUUCUCAGAUUAUGACCUCGCCCCUCCAGGCCAGUCUGGCUACCCUUUUUUCGGUUCUAUCAGGUCUCUUUCUUACAUCUUGCCCGGCUUUCUCCGUUUUCACUGUGCUGCUGAGCCAAGAAACGUUUGUUACGGGUCCCGCUUCCUCUGACGCUCCGCCCCUCCGUUUUGCUCCCAAAGAUCCAACCGAUGAGCCUCAUUUGUGGCUCCGCCUCACCCAGCUAGGCAGUGGUAGAGUAUCAGCCCCUCUCCUCUCCUAGCCCCACCCAACUCCCUCAGGCCAAUCAGUUCGGAUCCUCCCCCACUAAGGCUCUGUCCCUCCAUUCUAGCGUCUCCUCCCAUCCAAUCACGUCGGCCUUUGCCCCUUUCGGGCCCGCCUCCUCCGUCCAUCUUCUCCUCCCACCCAAUCACGU
RNAcentral lists this long non-coding RNA (800 nucleotides) under Marmota monax (woodchuck). The record is from RNAcentral. Lineage: Eukaryota; Metazoa; Chordata; Mammalia; Rodentia; Sciuridae.